CUGACGUUAGCGGCGGACGGGUGAGUAACACGUGGAUAACCUACCUAUAAGACUGGGAUAACUUCGGGAAACCGGAGCUAAUACCGGAUAAUAUAUUGAACCGCAUGGUUCAAUAGUGAAAGACGGUUUUGCUGUCACUUAUAGAUGGAUCCGCGCCGCAUUAGCUAGUUGGUAAGGUAACGGCUUACCAAGGCAACGAUGCGUAGCCGACCUGAGAGGGUGAUCGGCCACACUGGAACUGAGACACGGUCCAGACUCCUACGGGAGGCAGCAGUAGGGAAUCUUCCGCAAUGGGCGAAAGCCUGACGGAGCAACGCCGCGUGAGUGAUGAAGGUCUUCGGAUCGUAAAACUCUGUUAUUAGGGAAGAACAAAUGUGUAAGUAACUAUGCACGUCUUGACGGUACCUAAUCAGAAAGCCACGGCUAACUACGUGCCAGCAGCCGCGGUAAUACGUAGGUGGCAAGCGUUAUCCGGAAUUAUUGGGCGUAAAGCGCGCGUAGGCGGUUUUUUAAGUCUGAUGUGAAAGCCCACGGCUCAACCGUGGAGGGUCAUUGGAAACUGGAAAACUUGAGUGCAGAAGAGGAAAGUGGAAUUCCAUGUGUAGCGGUGAAAUGCGCAGAGAUAUGGAGGAACACCAGUGGCGAAGGCGACUUUCUGGUCUGUAACUGACGCUGAUGUGCGAAAGCGUGGGGAUCAAACAGGAUUAGAUACCCUGGUAGUCCACGCCGUAAACGAUGAGUGCUAAGUGUUAAGGGGGUUUCCGCCCCUUAGUGCUGCAGCUAACGCAUUAAGCACUCCGCCUGGGGGAGUACGACCGCAAGGUUGAAACUCAAAGGAAUUGACGGGGACCCGCACAAGCGGUG
Molecule: ribosomal RNA, 864 nt
Filed under: Staphylococcus epidermidis
Lineage: Bacteria; Bacillati; Bacillota; Bacilli; Caryophanales; Staphylococcaceae
Description: bacterial SSU rRNA
Rfam family: Bacterial small subunit ribosomal RNA
Source: RNAcentral